RNAcentral lists this transfer RNA (73 nucleotides) under Cuscuta mexicana. RNAcentral describes it as "tRNA-Met". It matches the Rfam family "tRNA". From Rfam's summary of the family: Transfer RNA (tRNA) molecules are approximately 80 nucleotides in length. Their secondary structure includes four short double-helical elements and three loops (D, anti-codon, and T loops). Further hydrogen bonds mediate the characteristic L-shaped molecular structure. tRNAs have two regions of fundamental functional importance: the anti-codon, which is responsible for specific mRNA codon recognition, and the 3' end, to which the tRNAs corresponding amino acid is attached (by aminoacyl-tRNA synthetases). tRNAs cope with the degeneracy of the genetic code in two manners: having more than one tRNA (with a specific anti-codon) for a particular amino acid; and 'wobble' base-pairing, i.e. permitting non-standard base-pairing at the 3rd anti-codon position. The record is from RNAcentral. Lineage: Eukaryota; Viridiplantae; Streptophyta; Magnoliopsida; Solanales; Convolvulaceae.
GCGGUGUAGAGCAGUUUGGUAGCUCGCAAGGCUCAUAACCUUGAGGUCACGGGUUCAAAUCCUGUCUCCGCAA